This 253-nucleotide ribosomal RNA is filed under the name uncultured bacterium. RNAcentral's name for it is "partial 16S ribosomal RNA". It matches the Rfam family "Bacterial small subunit ribosomal RNA", at positions 524 to 776 of the family's 1533-position model. The record is from RNAcentral.
UACAGAGGGGGCAAGCGUUGUUCGGAAUUACUGGGCGUAAAGGGCGCGUAGGCGGCCUGUUAAGUCGAACGUGAAAUCCCCAGGCUCAACCUGGGAACUGCGUCCGAUACUGGCAGGCUUGAAUCCGGGAGAGGGAUGUGGAAUUCCUGGUGUAGCGGUGAAAUGCGCAGAUAUCAGGAAGAACACCGAUGGCGAAAGCAGCUCUCUGGGACGGUACUGACGCUGAGGCGCGAAAGCGUGGGGAGCGAACAGG